ACCUGCGGAGGAUCAUUAUCGAAAUAAAUCUGAACAGGCUGUUGCUGGUCGGAAGACAUGUGCACGCUUGUCCUCUUUAUUUUUCCAACUGUGCACAUAUUGUAGACCUUUUUGAGGGAAUGAUGGCCAAGGUCUAUGUUACAUUUAACAACUUGUUGUAGAAUGGGGGAUAUGAAACAAAUAUACAACUUUCAGCAACGGAUCUCUUGGCUCUCGCAUCGAUGAAGAACGCAGCGAAAUGCGAUAAGUAAUGUGAAUUGCAGAAUUCAGUGAAUCAUCGAAUCUUUGAACGCAUCUUGCGCUCCUUGGUAUUCCGAGGAGCAUGCCUGUUUGAGUGUCAUCAAGUUCUCAACCAUACCUCGGUGUGGCUUGGAUUUGGGGGUUUUUGCAGGCUUCAAAGAAAGUCGGCUCCCCUGAAAAGCAUUAGCGGUGUCCGAGUACCUUUGGUGUGAUAACUAUCUAUGCCUUGGUGUAUAYGAUGCAUGCUGCUUCUGAACUUCAUUUUUAUUGACAAAUUUGACCUCAAAUCAGGUAGGAUUACCCGCUGAACUUAAGCAUAUCAAUA
Molecule: ribosomal RNA, 565 nt
Filed under: Inocybe johannae
Lineage: Eukaryota; Fungi; Basidiomycota; Agaricomycetes; Agaricales; Inocybaceae
Description: eukaryotic LSU rRNA
Rfam family: 5.8S ribosomal RNA (bases 187-340)
Source: RNAcentral